Molecule: ribosomal RNA, 1036 nt
Filed under: Constrictochalara constricta
Lineage: Eukaryota; Fungi; Ascomycota; Leotiomycetes; Helotiales; Hamatocanthoscyphaceae
Description: SSU rRNA
Rfam family: Eukaryotic small subunit ribosomal RNA
Source: RNAcentral
UAUACGGUGAAACUGCGAAUGGCUCAUUAAAUCAGUUAUCGUUUAUUUGAUAGUACCUUACUACUUGGAUAACCGUGGUAAUUCUAGAGCUAAUACAUGCUAAAAACCUCGACUUCGGAAGGGGUGUAUUUAUUAGAUAAAAAACCAAUGCCCUUCGGGGCUCCUUGGUGAUUCAUAAUAACUUAACGAAUCGCAUGGCCUUGUGCCGGCGAUGGUUCAUUCAAAUUUCUGCCCUAUCAACUUUCGAUUGUAAGGUAGUGGCUUACAAUGGUUUCAACGGGUAACGGGGAAUUAGGGUUCUAUUCCGGAGAGGGAGCCUGAGAAACGGCUACCACAUCCAAGGAAGGCAGCAGGCGCGCAAAUUACCCAAUCCCGACACGGGGAGGUAGUGACAAUAAAUACUGAUACAGGGCUCUUUUGGGUCUUGUAAUUGGAAUGAGUACAAUUUAAAUCCCUUAACGAGGAACAAUUGGAGGGCAAGUCUGGUGCCAGCAGCCGCGGUAAUUCCAGCUCCAAUAGCGUAUAUUAAAGUUGUUGCAGUUAAAAAGCUCGUAGUUGAACCUUGGGCCUGGCUGGCCGGUCCGCCUCACCGCGUGCACUGGUCCGGCCGGGUCUUUCCUUCUGGGGAGCCGCAUGCCCUUUACUGGGUGUGUCGGGGAACCAGGACUUUUACUUUGAAAAAAUUAGAGUGUUCAAAGCAGGCCUAUGCUCGAAUACAUUAGCAUGGAAUAAUAGAAUAGGACGUGUGGUUCUAUUUUGUUGGUUUCUAGGACCGCCGUAAUGAUUAAUAGGGAUAGUCGGGGGCAUCAGUAUUCAAUUGUCAGAGGUGAAAUUCUUGGAUUUAUUGAAGACUAACUACUGCGAAAGCAUUUGCCAAGGAUGUUUUCAUUAAUCAGUGAACGAAAGUUAGGGGAUCGAAGACGAUCAGAUACCGUCGUAGUCUUAACCAUAAACUAUGCCGACUAGGGAUCGGGCGAUGUUAUCUUUUUGACUCGCUCGGCACCUUACGAGAAAUCAAAGUCUUUGGGUCUGGGGG